RNAcentral lists this long non-coding RNA (574 nucleotides) under Cairina moschata (Muscovy duck). RNAcentral's name for it is "domestica (muscovy Duck (domestic type)) lncRNA (ENSCMMG00000009316.1)". The record is from RNAcentral. Lineage: Eukaryota; Metazoa; Chordata; Aves; Anseriformes; Anatidae.
GUUCCCCUCAGCAGGUCUGUCCCCUCAUGGGUCUCCCCUCACCAAGUCUCUUCCCUCGGCAGGUUUCCCCUCAGUGGGAUCUGUGCCCUCAUGGGCUUCCUCUCAUCGAGGCUCUCCUGUUAGGGUUUUCACCCCUAAGCCCCCCUGCAGUGGGACGCUUCUCCCCACAUCUAUCCCAAGGCAGAGGGAGGGUUGGAAUGACCAUAACAUGCAUCCCCCUUUCCCCCACAGGCCCAGGCAAUGCUUUGUUGUGAGGACGUGAAGAAAAUUGUGAUAUUACGACUUGGAGUAUCCACACGUGCAUCUGCAGCGGAUAUCCUACUGGUCCUGCUUAUGUCAUGGGGCCUUAGGUGGUCAUGGAAGAAACAGAUUACGUUACUCAAGCCAGCAGCAGCAGCACAUGCUCACCCCGCUAUCCAGCCAACAUUCCUCAACUCUGACCUGAGGACCACCUCUGGAGAUAAGAGUCCCUUCUUAUCAGUGAGUCCUCGUUUUUUUUUGCCAAGUCUGUUAGCAAAAACGAUAUUCAGAGCCAACAGUAUAGAUUUGGACAGCAGAGGCUUGUUCACCAGAA